Molecule: long non-coding RNA, 263 nt
Organism: Cephus cinctus (wheat stem sawfly)
Lineage: Eukaryota; Metazoa; Arthropoda; Insecta; Hymenoptera; Cephidae
Exons: 2
Source: RefSeq, a predicted model, not a curated record
AGCACCUAUUGUGCAAUAAUAUGUAUUCAUAUUAUUCGCUAUUGUAAAUGGAAACUUCCUAAUGGUGUUGGAGUUUGCUAUGUUUUGGGAUGCUCUUCUGGGGUUAAUAUGCCGAGUCAUAAGUGUCCGAAAAAUCCUGAACAGAAAGGGACCAGAAAAAAAGGGUCACCAAAAAUUGGCGAAGAUUUAUUAAAGUAUACUGCAUCAGAAAAGCACGAUAUGGCGAGUCAUAAGUUUCCGAAAAAUCCUGACCAGAAAGGGAC